AUCUCAAGUAAAUACUUGGAAUUUGGUUAGUGCGUUGGAUAAUGAAAUAAUAAUAUUGUGAAGUGUGUGAUAUUGUUUAAAGUAAAAGAGAUGGAGAGAGAGAAAAAAAUCACACACAAGAAGUUAUCCUGGUUCCCCCAAUGUGGGUUAGUCCAGUUCCCACAAUACUGUGAGAUUAUCCACUAGGUAGUUGAGUUAAAACUUAACCUCAACUUCUGCUUUUCUUUUUAGAUCCCUUACUUGAUCUAUACAAUGUCUUUCUUUUCACCCCUUGGGCUUUGCACUAGUUUCACUUACUAGAUUUUUACAAAUAACAAUCACUAAACACUAUUAGUGAUCCUUUUCAAAUAUCUUUGCUUUUGUUGUAUAAUGUUUGAAGCCUUUGUAAAGAACUCAAGUAAAAGAGUUGCUGCUGAAUUUUUGCUACUUCUUGCGAUGAAAGAGCCUUUGAAAUAAUCUUGAUGCUUUGAGAAUCAAGUAUGAUUAUAUGUUCUUAAUGACUCAAUGCCUUUCCUCUUUGCAAGCCCUUGUAUUUAUAGAUGAAAGGAGUCCCUUGCUGUAGUAAAUAAAACAAGCUCCUGAGGGCAUAAGAGGAAGAGUAAAGAAAGCUUGCCAACUCAUUAAUGUGAAAAAUUCUUGUGAAAAAUGUCUGGCAGGUUGUUCUCGAAAUUCUGAGAACGCUCUCAAAAAUCUGCUUUGGAUAGCUUGUAUUAAAGUGUGACAUCAUGAAUAGUACCAUGCAGAAUUCUUGCUUGCUAGUUGGCAACCAAGAUUGCUUUUGUUGGGCUGUCAAAUUCUCACGCCUUGGAGACAAAGAAAGCAAGUACAAGAGAUUUGG
RNAcentral lists this long non-coding RNA (838 nucleotides) under Medicago truncatula (barrel medic). Its description in RNAcentral is "long non-coding RNA (MTRU_LNC007080)". Lineage: Eukaryota; Viridiplantae; Streptophyta; Magnoliopsida; Fabales; Fabaceae. The record is from RNAcentral.